UACGUAGGGUGCGAGCGUUAAUCGGAAUUACUGGGCGUAAAGGGUGCGUAGGCGGUUGUUUAAGUCUGUCGUGAAAUCCCCGGGCUCAACCUGGGAAUGGCGAUGGAUACUGGACAGCUAGAGUGUGUCAGAGGAUGGUGGAAUUUCCGGUGUAGCGGUGAAAUGCGUAGAGAUCGGAAGGAACAUCAGUGGCGAAGGCGGCCAUCUGGGACAACACUGACGCUGAAGCACGAAAGCGUGGGGAGCAAACAGG
Molecule: ribosomal RNA, 253 nt
Filed under: uncultured bacterium
Lineage: Bacteria
Description: partial 16S ribosomal RNA
Rfam family: Bacterial small subunit ribosomal RNA
Source: RNAcentral